This 184-nucleotide non-coding RNA is filed under the name Kerstersia gyiorum. Its description in RNAcentral is "6S / SsrS RNA". It matches the Rfam family "6S / SsrS RNA". From Rfam's summary of the family: E. coli 6S RNA was the first non coding RNA to be sequenced, but its function was unknown until recently. It consists of 184 nucleotides that fold into an extended hairpin structure with a large single-stranded internal bulge. The record is from Rfam by way of RNAcentral. RNAcentral also lists the same sequence under 2 other names. Lineage: Bacteria; Pseudomonadati; Pseudomonadota; Betaproteobacteria; Burkholderiales; Alcaligenaceae.
UUGUCCCUGCGGUGUUCGUGACUUGGCCAUAUUCUCUGAACCGAUGCUUUUAUGGCAUAGGUUGUAAGGGCGUCCGGUAGGUGCGAUCGUCUCUUGUCAGACGAACCCGAAGCCAGACCACGAGCGACCAACUUGAACUCUCUGGGUUCGAGAUGCCGGCCUGGACGGCACACGCGGGGCAUUC